CCUACGGGGGGCAGCAGUGGGGAAUAUUGCACAAUGGGGGAAACCCUGAUGCAGCGACGCCGCGUGAGUGAUGAAGUAAUUCGUUGUGUAAAGCUCUAUCAGCAGGGAAGAAAAUGACGGUACCUGAGUAAGAAGCCCCGGCUAACUACGGGCCAGCGGCCGCGGUAAUACGUAGGGGGCAAGCGUUAUCCGGAUUGAUUGGGUUUAAGGGGUGCGAUGGCGGCCUGUUAAGUCCGCGGUAAAAGCCUGGGGCUCAACCCCGGCGAGCCGUUGAAACUGGCGGGCUGGAGUUGGGGAGAGGUACGCGGAAUGCGCGGUGUAGCGGUGAAAUGCUUAGAUAUCGCGCAGAACCCCGAUUGCGAAGGCAGCGUACCGGCUCCACACUGACGCUGAGGCACGAAAGCGUGGGUAUCGAACAGGAUUAGAUACCCUAGUAGUC
Molecule: ribosomal RNA, 439 nt
Filed under: uncultured bacterium
Lineage: Bacteria
Description: partial 16S ribosomal RNA
Rfam family: Bacterial small subunit ribosomal RNA
Source: RNAcentral